GACGUAGGGGGCCAGCGUUGCUCGGAAUUACUGGGCGUAAAGGGUUCGUAGGCGGUGCGGCAAGUUGGGAGUGAAAUCUCUGGGCUUAACUCAGAGGCUGCUUCCAAAACUGCCGUGCUCGAGUGCGGGAGAGGCGAGUGGAAUUGCAGGUGUAGCGGUGAAAUGCGUAGAUAUCUGCAGGAACACCCGUGGCGAAGGCGGCUCGCUGGACCGCAACUGACGCUGAGGAACGAAAGCUAGGGGAGCAAACAGG
Molecule: ribosomal RNA, 253 nt
Filed under: uncultured Acidobacteriota bacterium
Lineage: Bacteria; Pseudomonadati; Acidobacteriota
Description: uncultured Acidobacteria bacterium partial 16S ribosomal RNA
Rfam family: Bacterial small subunit ribosomal RNA
Source: RNAcentral